This is a long non-coding RNA of Rhododendron vialii, 867 nucleotides long. RefSeq lists it as uncharacterized. The record is from RefSeq and is a predicted model, not a curated record. Lineage: Eukaryota; Viridiplantae; Streptophyta; Magnoliopsida; Ericales; Ericaceae. The transcript has 2 exons.
CCUCCUAGGUGGUAUCAAUUCUUGCGGGGCCAAUCCUUAGCGCUUCUAUCCCUUUUUAAAUUUGCCCCCUAGUGGAUGUCAAAAUAAGUUCACGGAUUCAUCAAGGUGCACAGAAACGUGAUCCUCUGUCAAAGAUGAUCCCGGAGCACCCUUCCCGUUUGCAAUUUGACCAUCAGAUAAUGAAAUUGUGAUUAAAAUAAAGGAUUUUAUGAAAGACCAGUUUUUACAGUCAGUUCAUAAAACAACUGAUGAUGAAUCUAUGAUGUUAGCCAUGAGCAUAGAAGAUGACAACAAUCCAUUUGCUUGUUUGGCAGGAGAAUCCCAAGACCCCUACGAGGAUGAAGGUAAUACACCUAUUGAACCCACUUUGGGUGAUUUCUGGGAUAGUAUGACUAAAAUCAUUGCAUGCUAGCUAUCCUCCAGGAAAGGAAAAGAAAAGAAUCAAUGAAGCAAUAAUACAGCCAAACCAACUUUCAGUGGCCAACCACUCUAAUCAACUUUCGGUCAAUCAACCACCUCAAUUAUGGGUACACUCAAUUAUCGAAUGAAAAAACAGACAUAUGUGACGAUGGGGCCCUCAGCGCACCCGACAUAUCUUUAUUUCAUAUGAAUUUGAGUGUAAUUUCAUUUGUAUUUGUGUGUGAGUCCUCUAUAUAAAGGACGCAUUUGUAAGAGUAAAGUCAAGUUUUGGAUUACCCUCUCUCUCUCAAAUCCUCUGAGUUGCUCUCUGCUUUCCUCCUCCUCCCUUUGUAAUAUUGGCCUUGGCCUUUUAAAUAAAAGGGGAAUCCCAAGACCCCUACGAGGAUAAAGGUAAUACACCUGUUGAACCCACUUUGGGUGAUUUCUAGGACAGUACGACUGAAAUCA